AUUGAACGCUGGCGGCAGGCCUAACACAUGCAAGUCGAGCGGAUGAAGGGAGCUUGCUCCUGGAUUCAGCGGCGGACGGGUGAGUAAUGCCUAGGAAUCUGCCUGGUAGUGGGGGAUAACGUCCGGAAACGGGCGCUAAUACCGCAUACGUCCUGAGGGAGAAAGUGGGGGAUCUUCGGACCUCACGCUAUCAGAUGAGCCUAGGUCGGAUUAGCUAGUUGGUGGGGUAAAGGCCUACCAAGGCGACGAUCCGUAACUGGUCGGAGAGGAUGAUCAGUCACACUGGAACUGAGCAACGGUCCAGACUCCUACGGGAGGCAGCAGUGGGGAAUAUUGGACAAUGGGCGAAAGCCUGAUCCAGCCAUGCCGCGUGUGUGAAGAAGGUCCUCGGAUUGUAAAGCACUUUACGUUGGGAGGAAGGGCAGUAAGUUAAUACCUUGCUGUUUUGACGUUACCAACAGAAUAAGCACCGGCUAACUUCGU
RNAcentral lists this ribosomal RNA (483 nucleotides) under uncultured bacterium. RNAcentral describes it as "partial 16S ribosomal RNA". It matches the Rfam family "Bacterial small subunit ribosomal RNA", at positions 30 to 506 of the family's 1533-position model. The record is from RNAcentral.